Molecule: ribosomal RNA, 567 nt
Filed under: uncultured bacterium
Lineage: Bacteria
Description: bacterial SSU rRNA
Rfam family: Bacterial small subunit ribosomal RNA
Source: RNAcentral
CCUACGGGAGGGCAGCAGUGGGGAAUCUUGCGCAAUGGGCGAAAGCCUGACGCAGCAACGCCGCGUGCGGGAAGAAGGCUCUCGGGUUGUAAACCGCUUUCAGCAGGAACGAAAAUGACGGUACUUGCAGAAGAAGGUGCGGCCAACUACGUGCCAGCAGCCGCGGUGACACGUAGGCACCAAGCGUUGUCCGGAUUUAUUGGGCGUAAAGAGCUCGUAGGCGGUUCGGUAGGUCAGGUGUGAAAACUUUGGGCUCAACCCAAAGCCUGCAUCUGAUACUGCUGUGACUAGAGUUCGGUAGGGGAGCGGGGGAAUUCCUAGUGUAGCGGUGAAAUGCGCAGAUAUUAGGAGGAACACCGGUGGCGAAGGCGCCGCUCUGGGCCGAAACUGACGCUGAGGAGCGAAAGCGUGGGUAGCAAACAGGAUUAGAUACCCUGGUAGUCCACGCCGUAAACGUUGGGCACUAGGUGUGGGUUUCAACCUAACGAAAUCCGCGCCGUCGCUAACGCAUUAAGUGCCCGCCUGGGGAGUACGGCCGCAAGGUUAAAACUCAAAGGAAUUAGACGG